This 253-nucleotide ribosomal RNA is filed under the name uncultured bacterium. RNAcentral describes it as "partial 16S ribosomal RNA". It matches the Rfam family "Bacterial small subunit ribosomal RNA", at positions 524 to 776 of the family's 1533-position model. The record is from RNAcentral.
UACAGAGGUCUCAAGCGUUGUUCGGAUUCAUUGGGCGUAAAGGGUGCGUAGGCGGCGCGGUAAGUCGGGUGUGAAACCUUGGAGCUUAACUCCGAAACUGCAUUCGAUACUGCCGUGCUUGAGGACUGGAGAGGAGACUGGAAUUUACGGUGUAGCGGUGAAAUGCGUAGAUAUCGUAAGGAAGACCAGUGGCGAAGGCGGGUCUCUGGACAGUUCCUGACGCUGAGGCACGAAGGCCAGGGGAGCAAACGGG